Molecule: long non-coding RNA, 2634 nt
Organism: Bubalus bubalis (water buffalo)
Lineage: Eukaryota; Metazoa; Chordata; Mammalia; Artiodactyla; Bovidae
Exons: 3
Source: RefSeq, a predicted model, not a curated record
ACCCGCCUCUGAAAGACUUAGAGGAUCUGCCAACAUUUGGUAUGAAUGUAUUUUAACAUGAAAAUUUUCCUGUUCAUCAAAAUUGUAGUGAAAACAACACACUCACACAAAUGUGUUACAUGUAAAUUUCAGCACAUUGAAAACUACCAACACAUUAACUUGGACUGCUGCAAGAAGCGUUUUUUGGUACAGAUCUCAAAGCAAGAAUUUUAUUUAAUUAAAGGUUGUUCUAGGAACAGCAAGAGAGCUAAUUUAAAAAAUAAAAACCACACUUUUAACAAUUGCAAGUACUUCUCCACGUGAAACAGAAUUUCUUAAUCUGGUACAAUCAAAAUAGAUGGCAGUGGUUCUCAGCUGGGGUGAUUUUACUCCUGACACCUGACUCUGGAGGAAGGGCCAGUGACUAUUGGCUACCGUCACCAUGCAGGGUCUUGAGUUGUGCCGUGAGGGCUCCCACUCUGGGCCCACCACUCCUAGACCAUGUGACCUCAGACUCAGUGCCUCAUCUCGCCAAGCUUAGAUUUCCUCAACUGCAAGAUGGCACCACAGUAUCAUGUAUUUCAUUUGGCAGUUGUGAGGAUUAGAUGGUAUCAUUUAUGCCAAGUGCUUAGAACAGUGUCAAACACACAAUCAGUGUUAGCCACCACCAUCAUGAUUCCUGCAAAUUCCGGCAGCCUGCUGAUGGUUUUCCUGCAAAGAACAGCCAGGAUAGGCAUUAAGAAGAUGCUGAAGCCCAUUCUGGAGAAGGACUUCCCUCCCUCCCACAACAUCUUCUGGCUCUUCCUUCAGCAUCUGUCCAGAACUAGACCACCUCCCAUCAGCUCCACCGCCACCCUGGCUCAAGCACCGCCAUCUCCCGCCCGAGUCGUUGCUGUGGCCCCUCCUUGGUCUCCCUGCUUCUGCUAUGGCCCCUCUACAAACUACCACCUGGAGAAAGGUCAUUUUAAAAUGUAACUCUGAUGUCACUCUUCUAGAACAUUCGAGUCCAGAGGACCCUUCCCAGCUCACAAGGAGUCAAAUUCAAAGUCCUUUCUGUGGCCUGUAUGCUGUGCUCCCACCCCGGCAUACUCACCUGGGCCUCUUCUCUUACCACUUGGCUCACUCCUCCCAGGCCCACUGGGCCCUUGUUCUCCCCUGAACAACCCCUGGUACAGCCUGCCAUUCCUUCUGCUCCCACAUGGCCUCCCUGACUUCCUUCAAGUUCCUACUGAGGUGUCUUCUCAUCGAAGAGCCUUUCCCUGACCACCCUGACAGUUGCCAGUGUCCACCCCACUGCAAACCCAGGUUUCCUCCUCCAUUUGCUUCACAGCAUUGCUGAACCUUUGCUCUCUGCUCAUCACUUACUUGUGUGUUGGUGGUCUCCCUCCCUGGAGAUCAGCUCCUCAAGUGCAGGACAUUGUGGUGUUCACAGCUCUAUCCCCAGUAUCCCCAUCCAUGUCAGGAGCUCAACCAAUACCUGUUGCGUAAGUGAUGAUUAGGCGAGUGAAUUCUGAGGGCAGCCCCAGACAACUGUGAUUCCUCUCCUCUGCCCACAGCUGAUGGGGCCACGGACCGCCAAUCCCCAGGUGAACCAGCACUCAGACAGGUCAGGAGGAGAACACUCAGCCCUCCUGCAUCAUGGGGAUUUGUGGGUCAAGUCCUCAUCGGUCUCCACCUCCCUCUUUCUCAGUUUAAAGAGAUUAGCCAGGAGAUAGUGAGAAAGAGAAGUUACUGCCAAGGGUUCCCAGCUGCAAAGACUAUGGCUCCCCACAGAUCCACGGAUGAGGCCCCAGGCUGUCCCAGCCCUCUGGUUCCAGGUGUCAUUGGAAGCCACAGUCCUGGGCAAAGAAUGUUCCAUCUACACAUAUAACAUCAUGCCACUGGUAUCCGUGUCAGGAUUGGGAGCAGGGUCAGGGAAGGUCACUGUGUGAAAGUGUUAGGGUUCAGGGUGGUUCUGUGUGAGACAAAGGAAUGCCUUUGGUGGCUUUUGGCUGGUCCAAUUGGUCAGGAAAAUCAUUCCAGAGAAGGAGGGCCAGAGAGCAUGAUCUCAACUUCCACAAGUGAUCAUGUACUUUGGAGGAUAUUCCAGGUAAAAGAAACAAAUAUAAGAAGCAGCAAACUGGUUUCCUGAGCAGGGACUGAGAAGCUGGAAAUCGAUUCUGUAGAUGGGCUAAAGUGUAGGCUUCAUGCUGGGGGCCAGAAAAAAAUGACCCCAGGUUUCUCCAGCACCUGCUGUGCCAGGCCCUGUCUCGGUGCUAGAAGAUGAAUAAGGCCCAACCUCCCCCACCCUGUCACACCCUACACAAGGUGGUGGGUGUCAGAAAUACAUGUGCAGCCAGCAUCACGGCACACACACACAACAUGCUUAUACACAUUGCACUUCCACACACAUACACAGAAAAGAGGCUCCUGGAUGAGAGCUGACUCAGUGGCCCUUGUCAAGUCUCCAAAAUGAUUUCUCCCAACAGAAAAUAGGCAGUGGUGCCAGAAGAUCCACCAGGCAUCUCACAGGCUGCACCCAGCUCCCCUCCUGCAGUCCCCUAGAGCCAGGCUUUCACCUUGAAACAAAUCUCUUUUUUCUUUUUCUUUUUUUAAUUUAAAUUUAUUUAUUUCAAUUGGAGGCUAAUUAGUUUACAAUAUUAUAUUGGUUUUACC